This 462-nucleotide ribosomal RNA is filed under the name uncultured bacterium. RNAcentral describes it as "partial 16S ribosomal RNA". It matches the Rfam family "Bacterial small subunit ribosomal RNA", at positions 28 to 507 of the family's 1533-position model. The record is from RNAcentral.
GACGAACGCUGGCGGCGUGCUUAACACAUGCAAGUCGAGCGGUAAGGCCUUUCGGGGUACACGAGCGGCGAACGGGUGAGUAACACGUGGGUGAUCUGCCCUGCACUUCGGGAUAAGCCUGGGAAACUGGGUCUAAUACCGGAUAUGACCUCCUAUCGCAUGGUGGGUGGUGGCAAGAUUUAUCGGUGCAGGAUGGGCCCGCGGCCUAUCAGCUUGUUGGUGGGGUAAUGGCCUACCAAGGCGACGACGGGUAGCCGACCUGAGAGGGUGACCGGCCACACUGGGACUAAGACACGGCGCAGACUCCUACGGGAGGCAGCAGUGGGGAGUAUUGCACAAUGGGCGAGAGCCUGAUGCGGCGACGCCGCGUGUGGGAUGACGGCCUUCGGGUUGUAAACCUCUUUCAGCAGGGACGAAGCGGAAGUGACGGUACCUGCAGAAGAAGCACCGGCUAACUACGUG